RNAcentral lists this ribosomal RNA (596 nucleotides) under uncultured Pseudomonadota bacterium. Its description in RNAcentral is "bacterial SSU rRNA". It matches the Rfam family "Bacterial small subunit ribosomal RNA", at positions 100 to 692 of the family's 1533-position model. The record is from RNAcentral. Lineage: Bacteria; Pseudomonadati; Pseudomonadota.
GGACGGGUGAGUAAUGUCUGGGAAACUGCCUGAUGGAGGGGGAUAACUACUGGAAACGGUAGCUAAUACCGCAUAACGUCGCAAGACCAAAGAGGGGGACCUUCGGGCCUCUUGCCAUCGGAUGUGCCCAGAUGGGAUUAGCUAGUAGGUGGGGUAAAGGCUCACCUAGGCGACGAUCCCUAGCUGGUCUGAGAGGAUGACCAGCCACACUGGAACUGAGACACGGUCCAGACUCCUACGGGAGGCAGCAGUGGGGAAUAUUGCACAAUGGGCGCAAGCCUGAUGCAGCCAUGCCGCGUGUAUGAAGAAGGCCUUCGGGUUGUAAAGUACUUUCAGCGGGGAGGAAGGGAGUAAAGUUAAUACCUUUGCUCAUUGACGUUACCCGCAGAAGAAGCACCGGCUAACUCCGUGCCAGCAGCCGCGGUAAUACGGAGGGUGCAAGCGUUAAUCGGAAUUACUGGGCGUAAAGCGCACGCAGGCGGUUUGUUAAGUCAGAUGUGAAAUCCCCGGGCUCAACCUGGGAACUGCAUCUGAUACUGGCAAGCUUGAGUCUCGUAGAGGGGGGUAGAAUUCAAGGUGUAACGGUGAAAUGCGUA